UGUUAGAAAGCAGCAUAUCAGCUUUUGGACAAGUACAAAUGAACCUUUGAAUAGGUUGUUUCAAAUGCCAAGGAAGAAGAGAGAAUGCAAGAAACAGCAAUAUCCUUAACGUCUACUUAAGGCAUUAUUAUAUAUUUGUUCAUGAUAGCUUACAGCUCCAUUGAAGAGCACAUAUAUAUAAAAAGCAAUUAAAGAAAACGCUGCCCCAGAUCUAAUUUUAGUGCAACAGAAGGGAACAACUGGCACAGGUAUGAAAAAGCAUCUUUACUAACUCUUGAAAGGAGACUACAGCCAAAAAUUAAAUUGGGCAACUGUGAACACACAAGGUUUUCGAUUCUGCACUGCAAGUUGACAGCAUGACCAAGAAAGAGACAAAUGACAAACAUCUCUUUGUUCAAUUUUAUGCCUGUACAAUGGUACACAUUAGGUUAUGGUGACAACAAAUGAGUUUGAACAUUAUUUGGGCGCUUCAUGUGCGAGAAAAGCCUGCAAAAGUUACCCGUUGCUAGCUAACUGUUUAUUGCUCAAAAGAAAAAAAUUACUAUAGUCCAUUAAAGAUAAACUAAAAGCUUAAAGUUCUCAUUUAUUUUGUAAUGCAGUGUAGCAGCCCCUUAUAUAGUUGUAAACAGCCAGCUGGCCCCAGGUAGAUGCUGCUGAAAUCUGUGAUGUCACAGGCACCUAGUACGGGAACUUCAAUGUGAUAUUUUUCUCUUUCAUGUUCUCUCCAAUGAACCAAAGCGCCGAUUGUGGCAAGACUGACCCAUUUGGCAUUCCAGAACUGUCGUCCACAAAUCUAGCUUAGCCUAAUCUUAAUUUUAGCAUCCCUUUACAUGUUUUCAUAUUGAGGGCAACUAUAGCUAUUUUAUUCAUAAGAUGACAACAAGCUUGCCUCAUCACGAUGACAUAGUCAUUGUCAUCAGCCCACUUUGUCCAUUACAGGACAAAGACCUCUCCCAGUGGUCUCCAAUUACCCUUGCCUCAUGUUGGCUAACUAUAUCCUGUGGCUGUUAACUUCCCAGUCUCAUCACACUAUCUCGUCCCCUUGUUUCCUUUCCAUGGCACCUAUUCUGUUGCUCUGGUAUAUAGCAUUGGCUAUCUGUUCUAUACAGUACUUAAGCUACCAAAUCCCACUACUUCCUCUUAAUCUCGGCUGGAAUAUCAGCUGCCCAUGUUUGCCCUCUAAAUCAUACCAACAUACCCUCAUUAUUCCCAGGCCAGCCUAACACAGCCAUCGACAGUGCCGAUGAAAGCACGAGAAGCAGGAACCACCGAAUCAGUAGCAUUUGUGAUAUGCAUAACGAGCGCUCGUCCUAUUGUCAAGAACAUGUUGACAACGACUCAACAUCAGCGUAUGCUGUGGAAUUGUUACACAAAUGGAGAUCUCUGGCAGAAAUACCAGAGACCAGACAUUAUCUUCUUUGAAGACUGGGCCAACCUGAACGACUAUAAAGUCCGAGACAUGCUGCUCUCCCUCUGGCAAUUUGCACAUAAGGUGGGCAUUUACCGUUGCAUGUGAUGGCCUUCCCUGAACCCCCCCCUCCACCCUUUUGAGGCUGACGAGCCAACCCAGUCCUAACAAAGAUGUUUCAUUCAUUCAUUCAUUCAUUCAUUCAUUCAUUCCCACUUCCAUCAAGAGUUGAGCAAUCUUUGGCUGCUUCUCAAGUUCUUUCGUUAUCUUGCAGGUUUGCACUUGCAGUUGGGGCCAACUGCAACAAAAUCUCACUUUGGUGAAGUUUAUUUCAAUGAAUAGUACAUACUAUUGAAGCAAUCCUGGCAAUUCUGCAGGCCUUGGAAUCAUCAAAUUUUCUUAUUGACAGCCUAAUAAAUAACAUCCACCAGAUGAUGCAUGCAACUGGGUGUUAGCGGAUGUGAUGAAAAUCCUAAACCAUGGCCUCCUAUGUUUUCAGAAGAUUGUGAGUGCCACCUAAUCUCGGAGAUGAUGCUGAGGAGCCAUGCUGGUUCACAGUGUUCCAGGUUCUACAUCAUUUCUGGUCAACACUGCAGUUCGAAGUGGCAGGAAAACAAAUGUGUUUCUACCAUUCAUAGACCGGCCACAGCGUCUGCCAUUUGCUUACACUGGCGCAUGUAAAUCUUGGGAACCACAGAGCGGCGCGCCUGGUUCCUUGCAACACCCCCUAUGGCACCUGCCUCCGCUGCAUCGCGGCCCCUGCAAGAGGCCGCGUUUCUACCAGGAAGCCCACCUUCGUGCAUAGCGUUCGCUGCCAGCGUUUCCUGGGCUUGAAUGACGAAGAAUAAUGUUAGUCAAGGUGCGACGACACUGCAGGCAGUGUUGCAAUGUUCGACAAUAAUUGGCAAUCCUGCCACACCACUCUCAUCUGUCGAUGGGCUGACUCAAGCGCAGUCUUAAUCAAGGUUUUCUCACUUGGCAUGAAUUAGUGGAAUAUUUCAGUAAGCUGCAAUACCAUGAGGGGGCUUCAAUUCGUGAUGAUUGCAGCGCAUGACACCAGGGAUGGCCGAAAUAAAAAGUCUGCUGCCAACAGUUACUAAAACGUACCUAUUAUUUUUAAUGCACCAAAUUUGCAAUCAGGGCACUACAACAAUACAGCCAAAUGAGAGCAUUUCCGUGUUCCAAGUUUACACAUGACAUGUUUCAAGUUCGCUAUGUUGAACAGACGAGGUCUGGAGUAAAGCUUCUGUCAAAAACUCGCUAAUAAAUUUGAUACAAACAACUAA
Dermacentor albipictus is the source of this 2694-nucleotide non-coding RNA. The record is from RefSeq and is a predicted model, not a curated record. Lineage: Eukaryota; Metazoa; Arthropoda; Arachnida; Ixodida; Ixodidae.